GCCCGCUCAGAAACUUAAAGGAAUUGACGGGGCCCGGCACAAGCGGCGGAGCAUGUGGAUUAAUUCGAUGCAACGCGAAGAACCUUACCUGGGCUUGACAUACACCAGAUCGGCGCAGAGAUGCGUUUUCCCUUGUGGUUGGUGUACAGGUGGUGCAUGGUUGUCGUCAGCUCGUGUCGUGAGAUGUUGGGUUAAGUCCCGUAACGAGCGCAACCCUUGUCCUUAGUUACCAGCACGUUAUGGUGGGCACUCUAAGGAGACUGCCGGUGACAAACCGGAGGAAGGUGGGGAUGACGUCAAGUCAUCAUGGCCCUUACGGCCUGGGCUACACACGUGCUACAAUGGUCGGUACAAAGGGUUGCCAAGCCGCGAGGUGGAGCUAAUCCCAUAAAACCGAUCGUAGUCCGGAUCGCAGUCUGCAACUCGACUGCGUGAAGUCGGAAUCGCUAGUAAUCGUGAAUCAGAAUGUCACGGUGAAUACGUUCCCGGGCCUU
RNAcentral lists this ribosomal RNA (494 nucleotides) under uncultured Frigoribacterium sp. Its description in RNAcentral is "bacterial SSU rRNA". It matches the Rfam family "Bacterial small subunit ribosomal RNA", at positions 887 to 1382 of the family's 1533-position model. The record is from RNAcentral. Lineage: Bacteria; Bacillati; Actinomycetota; Actinomycetes; Micrococcales; Microbacteriaceae.